Molecule: ribosomal RNA, 510 nt
Filed under: uncultured Bacillota bacterium
Lineage: Bacteria; Bacillati; Bacillota
Description: bacterial SSU rRNA
Rfam family: Bacterial small subunit ribosomal RNA
Source: RNAcentral
UGGGGAAUAUUGCGCAAUGGGGGAAACUCUGACGCAGCAACGCCGCGUGAAGGAUGAAGGUCUUCGGAUUGUAAACUUCUUUAGUCGGGGACGAAGAAAUGACGGUACCCGAAGAAUAAGCCACGGCUAACUACGUGCCAGCAGCCGCGGUAAUACGUAGGUGGCGAGCGUUGUCCGGAAUUACUGGGUGUAAAGGGCGUGUAGGCGGGACGGUAAGUCAGAUGUGAAAUUCCGAAGCUUAACUUCGGGGCUGCAUCUGAAACUAUCGUUCUUGAGUGCUGGAGAGGAAAGCGGAAUUCCUAGUGUAGCGGUGAAAUGCGUAGAUAUUAGGAGGAACACCAGUGGCGAAGGCGGCUUUCUGGACAGUAACUGACGCUGAGGCGCGAAAGCGUGGGGAGCAAACAGGAUUAGAUACCCUGGUAGUCCACGCUGUAAACGAUGGAUACUAGGUGUAGGAGGUAUCGACCCCUUCUGUGCCGGAGUUAACACAAUAAGUAUCCCACCUGGGGA